RNAcentral lists this ribosomal RNA (443 nucleotides) under uncultured bacterium. RNAcentral's name for it is "partial 16S ribosomal RNA". It matches the Rfam family "Bacterial small subunit ribosomal RNA", at positions 338 to 795 of the family's 1533-position model. The record is from RNAcentral.
CCUACGGGUGGCAGCAGUGGGGAAUAUUGGGCAAUGGGCGCAAGCCUGACCCAGCAACGCCGCGUGAAGGAAGAAGGCUUUCGGGUUGUAAACUUCUUUUCUCAGGGACGAAGCAAGUGACGGUACCUGAGUAAUAAGCCACGGCUAACUACGUGCCAGCAGCCGCGGUAAUACGUAGGUGGCAAGCGUUAUCCGGAUUUACUGGGUGUAAAGGGCGUGUAGGCGGCAAUGCAAGCCAGGAGUGAAAGCCCUGGGCUCAACCCCGGGACUGCAUUUGGAACUGCAUGGCUGGAGUACAGGAGAGGCAGGCGGAAUUCCUAGUGUAGCGGUGAAAUGCGUAGAUAUUAGGAGGAACACCGGUGGCGAAGGCGGCCUGCUGGACUGUGACUGACGUUGAGGCGCGAAGGCGUGGGGAGCAAACAGGAUUAGAUACCCUAGUAGUC